GGGAACAAGCCAUGCAACGGACGUUGGGAGAAUUCAGGCUGCCUUUGGAAGGAAAAUGUGCAGCUUUAAAAUCAAGUUGUGUGGAGCCAGAGAAACAAGUGUUCGUGGGCAGAGUGAAGAAGCUUCUUUGGCUUUGCCAUGUUUCACUGGUUGGCUUUUGGCUUUGCCUGCCCCAGGCCUCCAGUGGCUCCAUUUUUAUGCCAGCCCCCAAAGUUCUUUUUGAUCCAAACUGCGGAGGGGGGGCGUGUUGCAAAGCAUUCUCCUUUUGAGGCUCCAUCUCACAAAUCCUAAUCCCAACCCAGGGUGCGUUUUGGAUCCCCAUUCUGCUUUAUUCAAACCUCUGGGUUCAAAGAUGCUGGUGGGUGGGAGGAUGGGUUCAAAUAUGGGUUCUGACUUUGGUCCUCUUGCCUGACUAAUGUGGAGUGCUGGUUAUUGUCACCUCUUACCUGAUUGUACUAAUUUGAGUUGUUUCAUAUUUUCCUGUGAUAUGCAAGAAGGAAAAGAGGUUCCUACAGGAGAAGCCCUCAGUGUGGCUGCAACAUUUGUGAGGAAUUUUGUGAAUGGAAGUCUCAGUUCAGCAACAGCCUUAAAAUGCUUAACUUGAAAUGUGCUUAUGACAGUCCUGCUGAAGUCAACCCAACAGUUUAUGCUUAGAAUUAGAUAGAUGCUAGCAAUCUGCGCUGCAGCUAGCUGUUGUCAGUGAGGCAUCAUCCAGAACCUGAGACCUCCUUGCCACUGUGGUUAUAGAAUGGUCCUUCUCAGUGGCAGCCUCCCUUGUGGUAGAAGGAAUUAAGGUGGUGGCCACCAGAAAUGACUGGGAGAGUCUCAGAGUUGCAGGUCUUGAUGGGCACCCCCUUCUCUGGGUAGAUGACAGAUUCCAUGUCUAUGGCACUAAACUUGGUUUGCCAGGCAGCGGUGCCAUCAAACAUAUCACACUACUCUGCAUGUGCCACUGCUUGAGCAGAAGCAGGUGUAUCUGCGUUUGUGACACUGCAGGCAGGCUAACUAGCAUGGUGGCAGGCUAACUGACCUUGUUGCUCAGAUGCAUUUAUUUGCAGUGCCAUGUAGAAGCAGUUCUGAGCAGCGUGCCAUGAUUUUGAGAGCACUGAUGCCAGGCACAAUAAGGCUAUCAUUUAGACAUGGCUACAGUUUCCCAUUCUUUGGUGGCAACACCAGCCAAUGACUGUUCUCAUUCUUUAUUUGACUCCUCUAGAGCUAUAACUUUAGAGCCUCAGGUACAGAGGAGCUUGAGGAUGGUGCUUGGCAUGCUCAUUCCUGAGAGAACAGCUAUUGGUGCUGUUUCACAGAGCUAUGUGGCCAUCUAGUUAGGUCUGGGACUUCUAUACAGGCAUCCUGUGGAAGGAGACUGUCAGGGAAGAAGAAUGAUAUAGGUAAGUGACAUCAUUUCACCUAUUUGUAGAGAAGGUCAUAAACAGUGCUACUUAUGUCAAAGCCACAUAUGCUAAACAAAUAUUGUUUCAGCCAUCUUAAGGCAAUCUCAUCACUAGAAUGAAGAGCUUGAAGGCCACCAGGUAGCAUAGUGAAUGGACAUGAGUCAACAGUGUGGGACAUGGUUUGAACUUGUCCACAGGGGCAUUUGCUAUUGCCCUGGAGAAAUUCAUGGAAAGUCUGAGUGACUUUUUCUUCACUGUCAUUUGUCUUCCUUUGGAUCUAGGUAUUUCCUUCUGCAUUUUUAGGCUACUUCCCUUCCUAGUUCAAAUGCACUAGCACUUGCUGUGCAGCAGUGGUGGGGCUGGAGACACUGCCCAAUUUUCUGUGUAGGGGGAAUGGAAAAUUCUCCCUGGGGAGGUGAGCGGAAGGAAGAGGAGCGGAAGGGAAGGCCUCUUAGGGAUAUCCAUAUUGCUAUUCUUAUAAAUCCCCUACUAGGGAUACUGCUGGUUUGACACACAGGCUGAGCUUCUUGCUUGUUAAUCAGGUACCAGUGAGGUUGAGGAGUUUCUCCCUUUCCUGCCAUCCCUAGCAGGAUGGAGCAAAGAGUCACUGCAUGUAUUUGAAAUGAAUGUGUCAGAGCUGAUGGCUACAUUCAUAUGCAUGCUGUUUCCGUUUGUUCAUAUCCAUGCUACAUUCAUGUCCAUGCUGCCAUGCUGUUCCCAUUUGCCUUCCUGCAGGUUAAAUUGACUGGCUCAAGUUGCAGAAGUGUUGAGCAGGUUUGCCUUGCAAUAGACAAAAGUGAACGCUGACCUUGUGCUGGGAGAUGGAUCGAUGCCUGGCGCUGACAGCGAGGCUCCAUUGCAGAACAACAGCAGUGUCCCAACAGGAUCCAUGGUCACAAAGCAAUCAAUACCUGGUAGUGGCAGAGAGCACAGUGACAAGAAGAGGAACUGCCUUGCAAAAGCAACAGCAGGGAACCCAGGGAAGGGAGCCUGUCUCAGGAAGGAGGAGUGAACUCAAGCACUGCGGCAUGUGGCUAACAGAAUGGAUUUGGCUCUCACAGCCCAGCUCAGGGGGGAGUUUUGGCCUGAGAGGACAUCUAGCUGGUGCUGGAAGAGUGUGAUUUGUCUUGGCUGAACAGGUUUGGGGGAAGAGCUCUCAUACUGCCUAUGGACCUGUGUGGAAUGGCUGGACAGAUGCCACAACCUCUAUGUCUAAUAGCAGCUAUAUCAAGAGCAUGGGCAACUAUUACCAUAACAGACGCUGCGGUGCUGGGCAUGCUUCCUGCCUGCUCUGGAGAGUAGAUUUCCUCCCUGCAAUGAAUAUUUGAUGAAGGUGGCUGCAUUGAGAUAAAUCACCUCCAGUGAAGCAGAGCCCGCCCAACCAGCUGGCACAGCAUCCCAACAUCAUUAGCAGGCUGCUAUCCCUCAGGACAGGUUUUAAUUACUUCUUGAAUGGCUGCAGUCUUUCCUGUUUCUACCUCCCACCCCUAAACAGCCUUGCCAGCUGGCCUGGCCUCUGCAUUUAUCAUGUGUUCAUUAGCCUGACCUUCACUGUUGAACAAGACACAAAUGCUUUUGGGGAAUGAGGUGGGGCAGGGGACUGAGGUAGAUUUCAAUGUGAAUUAUGAGCACAUGGGUAAGGGGAUAGAUGUGUACCCAGUCCAGUGUACUAAAUAUCUAGCUUUCUUUAAAAUAAGAUCCUCUGUUUGGGAAGGGGAUGUGGCAACAGUGGAAAAGGUGUGCUGCUAUUGCAGUGGAGGGGUGAGUUCAAGUCCUGCCCUGGUCUCAAGCCAAAGUCUGCCACAAGUUGACCUGGGUGCAAAAGGCACCUGAUCAUUCAAACAGGGGAGCUGACACUAGCCACAUUGCUUCCUUGGGUGCCAUUGGCUACAGAAACUGGUUGUUUUAACCAUACUAGCCCUGUGCGCUGUCAGGAUCAGGUACUUUGAACUUGAUAUAUGUGCGUGUGUGUGUGAGGAACCUACUGAGAUCAGGAUGCAAACAUGAAGAUGCCAGAGGCAGAAUUUUAGUUGGACAUUAGUGAGAUGUAACUCAGGGAAAGCUAGAACCUGAUGCCCCAUGUAGUAUGUAUUACUGUUAUGGAUAGGACUUCAUAGGCUUCUGUAGAUUUUUCCAUCCCAGAUUCUCAAAGCAUUUGUCUCACUACUGAAUUAAGACUCAUAAUGCUGUGGUGUGAUAAGGAUAUAUUAUUAUCAUCACCUCCCCUUUUUAUAAAUGGUGAAACUGAGGCAUGGAGGUGAUAGGUAACUUGCCCAAGGCCACCCAGCAAUAACAGUGGCAGAAACUGGGCUAAACCCCAGGAUUUCUGUCUUCUGGUUCCUGGCUUCAGUGCAUUAGAACAGUAUUUGUUGACUGGAAAAGAGUGAGAGGGGAAGCAGAGGUUUCAGGCUUGGCUCCUCAAAGGUACCUAGAUGUCAGAAUAUCUUUGAGGAUCUGGACUUGGUCUUGAAGAGCUCUUUGCUCAAGUAGCUCUCCCUCUUCAAACCUUUCCAGGGCAUCCAGUUUUAAGGGCCUCCAAAUAUGAUCUCACAUUAGUCCACAUGGCAGAGGCCUGGGUCUGCAAAGCCUAAGAACCAGUUUCAGUCUUGGCCUUUUAGUUGUCUAUCAAUUAUUAAUAUAGCAGCUAUGUCUCACUAAGGGGUUGGCGUAUCCUGGUGCUAGGUGCUGCGCAUGGGCUUAUAACAAAAGGAUGGGGCUCUAUCUUAUGGGUCUUAGAUCA
This is a long non-coding RNA of Alligator mississippiensis (American alligator), 4134 nucleotides long. RefSeq lists it as uncharacterized. NCBI's taxonomy places the organism in Eukaryota, Metazoa, Chordata, Crocodylia, Alligatoridae. The record is from RefSeq and is a predicted model, not a curated record. The transcript has 5 exons.